This 1179-nucleotide long non-coding RNA is filed under the name Phasianus colchicus (ring-necked pheasant). RNAcentral describes it as "lncRNA (ENSPCLG00000007397.1)". The record is from RNAcentral. Lineage: Eukaryota; Metazoa; Chordata; Aves; Galliformes; Phasianidae.
CUUCAGACCUCAAUACCACUUUUCACAGAAUCACAGAAUCACAGAAACACCAAGGUUGGAAAAGACCUACAAGAUCAUCCAGUCCAACCAACUUUUCCACAUCAGCAGCUGCUGCGUGUCCCAGGAAGGUUACACAGCAUUGCAGGUGGGAGCAGAGGUGGACCUGCAUGGGAGGGCAUCAUCCCAGCAGCCGUGUGUGAGCGCAGAGCUCACAGCUCACAGCACAGCUCACAGCACAGCUCACAGCACAGCUCACAGCACACAGCUCACAGCACAGCUCACAGCUCACAGCACACAGCUCACAGCACACACAGCUCACACAGCACAGCACACAGCUCACAGCUCACACAGCACAGCUCACAGCUCACACAGCACACAGCACACACAGCUCACAGCUCACAGCACACAGCACACAGCUCACACAGCACACAGCUCACACAGCACACAGCUCACACAGCACAGCUCACAGCUCACACAGCACACAGCACACACAGCACACAGCUCACAGCACACAGCUCACACCACACAGCUCACACCACACAGCUCACACAGCACACAGCUCACACAGCUCACAGCACACAGCUCACAGCUCACAGCACACAGCACACAGCACACACAGCACAGCUCACAGCUCACACAGCACAGCUCACAGCACAGCUCACAGCUCACAGCACAGCUCACACAGCUCACACAGCUCACAGCACACAGCUCACAGCACACAGCUCACAGCUCACAGCACACAGCACACAGCUCACAGCACACAGCUCACAGCUCACAGCUCACAGCUCACAGCACACAGCUCACAGCACACAGCUCACAGCACACAGCUCACAGCUCACAGCUCACAGCUCACAGCUCACAGCACACAGCACACAGCUCACAGCACACAGCUCACAGCUCACAGCUCACAGCUCACAGCUCACAGCACACAGCUCACAGCUCACAGCACACAGCUCACAGCUCACAGCUCACACAGCUCACAGCUCACACAGCUCACAGCUCACACAGCUCACAGCACACAGCACACAGCACACAGCUCACACCACACAGCACACAGCUCACACAUCACAGACAUCACACACAUCACACACAGCACACCUGCUGUGCCCCGCAGGCCAACACGAGGUGCUCUGUCCCGGUGUGCUGACAGUGUGUCCUACAGAUGAAAAAUGCUGGUAA